Molecule: ribosomal RNA, 795 nt
Filed under: uncultured bacterium
Lineage: Bacteria
Description: bacterial SSU rRNA
Rfam family: Bacterial small subunit ribosomal RNA
Source: RNAcentral
AGAGUUUGAUCCUGGCUCAGAUUGAACGCUGGCGGCAUGCUUUACACAUGCAAGUCGAGCGGCAGCGCGGGGGCAACCCUGGCGGCGAGCGGCGGACGGGUGAGUAAUGCAUCGGAACGUAUCCCGUAGUGGGGGACAACCCAGCGAAAGCUGGGCUAAUACCGCAUAUGCUCUACGGAGGAAAGCAGGGGACCUGAAAGGGCCUUGUGCUAUGGGAGCGGCCGAUGUCCGAUUAGCUAGUUGGUGGGGUAAAGGCUUACCAAGGCGACGAUCGGUAGCUGGUCUGAGAGGAUGAUCAGCCACACUGGGACUGAGACACGGCCCAGACUCCUACGGGAGGCAGCAGUGGGGAAUUUUGGACAAUGGGGGCAACCCUGAUCCAGCCAUGCCGCGUGCGGGAAGAAGGCCUUCGGGUUGUAAACCGCUUUUGGUCGGGAAGAAAAGGUUCUCCCUAAUACGGAGGACUGUUGACGGUACCGGCAGAAUAAGCACCGGCUAACUACGUGCCAGCAGCCGCGGUAAUACGUAGGGUGCGAGCGUUAAUCGGAAUUACUGGGCGUAAAGCGUGCGCAGGCGGUGAGUUAAGUCUGAUGUGAAAGCCCCGGGCUCAACCUGGGAAUGGCAUUGGAAACUGGCUCGCUGGAGUAUGGCAGAGGGGGGUGGAAUUCCGCGUGUAGCAGUGAAAUGCGUAGAGAUGUGGAGGAAUACCGAUGGCGAAGGCAGCCCCCUGGGACGUCACUGACGCUCAUGCACGAAAGCGUGGGGAGCAAACAGGAUUAGAUACCCUAGUAGUCC